Molecule: ribosomal RNA, 497 nt
Filed under: uncultured bacterium
Lineage: Bacteria
Description: partial 16S ribosomal RNA
Rfam family: Bacterial small subunit ribosomal RNA
Source: RNAcentral
GAUGAACGCUGGCGGCGUGCCUAAUACAUGCAAGUCGAGCGAACAGACGAGGAGCCUGCUCCUCUGACGUUAGCAGCGGACGGGUGAGUAACACGUGGAUAACCUACCUAUAAGACUGGGAUAACUUCGGGAAACCGGAGCUAAUACCGGAUAAUAUAUUGAACCGCAUGGUUCAAUAGUGAAAGACGGUUUUGCUGUCACUUAUAGAUGGAUCCGCGCCGCAUUAGCUAGUUGGUAAGGUAACGGCUUACCAAGGCAACGAUGCGUAGCCGACCUGAGAGGGUGAUCGGCCACACUGGAACUGAGACACGGUCCAGACUCCUACGGGAGGCAGCAGUAGGGAAUCUUCCGCAAUGGGCGAAAGCCUGACGGAGCAACGCCGCGUGAGUGAUGAAGGUCUUCGGAUCGUAAAACUCUGUUAUUAGGGAAGAACAAAUGUGUAAGUAACUAUGCACGUCUUGACGGUACCUAAUCAGAAAGCCACGGCUAACUACGUG